This 344-nucleotide unclassified non-coding RNA is filed under the name soil metagenome. RNAcentral's name for it is "partial contains 5.8S ribosomal RNA, internal transcribed spacer 2, and large subunit ribosomal RNA". The stretch from base 1 to 120 matches the Rfam family "5.8S ribosomal RNA", at positions 35 to 154 of the family's 154-position model. The record is from RNAcentral.
GAUGAAGAACGUAGCGAAAUGCGAUAAGUAAUGUGAAUUGCAGAAUUCAGUGAAUCAUCGAAUCUUUGAACGCACAUUGCGCCCUCUGGUAUUCCGGGGGGCAUGCCUGUUCGAGCGUCAUUAUAACCACUCAAGCCCCCGGGCUUGGUGUUGGGGAUCGGCGAGCCUCCGCGCCCGCCGUCCCCUAAAUCUAGUGGCGGUCUCGCUGUAGCUUCCUCUGCGUAGUAGCACACCUCGCACUGGGAAACAGCGCGGCCACGCCGUUAAACCCCCAACUUCUGAACGUUUGACCUCGGAUCAGGUAGGAAUACCCGCUGAACUUAAGCAUAUCAAUAAGCGGAGGA